Molecule: transfer RNA, 72 nt
Filed under: Capsicum annuum
Lineage: Eukaryota; Viridiplantae; Streptophyta; Magnoliopsida; Solanales; Solanaceae
Rfam family: tRNA
About the family: Transfer RNA (tRNA) molecules are approximately 80 nucleotides in length. Their secondary structure includes four short double-helical elements and three loops (D, anti-codon, and T loops). Further hydrogen bonds mediate the characteristic L-shaped molecular structure. tRNAs have two regions of fundamental functional importance: the anti-codon, which is responsible for specific mRNA codon recognition, and the 3' end, to which the tRNAs corresponding amino acid is attached (by aminoacyl-tRNA synthetases). tRNAs cope with the degeneracy of the genetic code in two manners: having more than one tRNA (with a specific anti-codon) for a particular amino acid; and 'wobble' base-pairing, i.e. permitting non-standard base-pairing at the 3rd anti-codon position.
Source: Rfam by way of RNAcentral
UGAGGCGAGGCAAAGCGGUAAGGCAACGGGUAUUGGUCCCGCUAUUCGGAGGUUCAAAUCCUUCCGUCCCAG